GAACGCAUCUUGCGCCCAGUGGUAUUCCGCUGGGCAUGCCUGUCUGAGUGUCGUUACUUCUCAUGCUUGACACUUUUGUGUUAUGUUAUGGAUGGUGGGUGUCUGUAAGGCAUACGCUUUACACACCUCAAAUGUAAUCCGGUUUACACUUGAUUUUACGGCUUGACCGAAUGUUGUAGAUUGUACACUUCAUUUGGGACGUGAAAAUAAAGAUAAGACCUAAACGGCAUGUAACUUUCAAUUUUGACCUCAGAUCAGGUAGGAUUACCCGCUGAACUUAAG
RNAcentral lists this unclassified non-coding RNA (282 nucleotides) under uncultured fungus. Its description in RNAcentral is "sequence contains 5.8S rRNA gene". The stretch from base 1 to 53 matches the Rfam family "5.8S ribosomal RNA", at positions 102 to 154 of the family's 154-position model. The record is from RNAcentral. Lineage: Eukaryota; Fungi.